GAGCCCUUUAAAAGAGAAUCUGGAGAUCAGAGACUUACAGACUCGAAAUAAAUUCUCUUUCUCUCUCUUGCUCUUUUGCUGGCUUUGAAGAAGCAAGAAUUCUACAGCUGCAAGAAAAUGAAUUCUGCCAAUGACCACAUGAACUUGGAAGAGGACCUCAAGCCUCAAACCUCAGAUGAGACCACAGCGCCAGCUGAUAUGUUGACUUGAGGUUUGUGAGACAUUGAGUAGAAGACCCAAUGAAGCCAUGCUCAGACUUGACCCGUAGGAACUGUGAGAAAAGGAAUGAUGACUCCAUGGGCAGAACCAAGAUCUUGGAGAGUGAAACUGAAAGCCUUGGUGGAUUAUUCCCAGGCUUGAAACCUAAUCAAGGAACUCUGGCUGGAUUUCAGAACUGCCAUGGACCAGUAACUCCUUUCUACUUUCCAUUUUUCCCCUUUUUGAACUGGAAUGUUCACAGCUAUCAUUUUGUGCCUGUCUCACCAUUGCAUAUUCACUCCUGGGGGUUGAUGUCUUGUCUCUUUAGUUUCACAGGUGAGCAGGUGGAAGAGAAUUGAGCCACAGAAACUGUUAUUUAGCAGAUUACAUGUGGGAGCCUCAUGCUCACCUAGUUACGACUUAGAUAAUGAGAUUUUGGACUCUGAGCAGAUGCUAAAAUGGGACAAGACACUUAAGAACCCUUGGAAGAGAUGAAUGUAUUUUGCAUUUGUGAAGAAUGUAAAUCAUUGGGGGCUAGAGUUUGGACUGUUAUAGGCAAAAUUCUAAAAUGGAUCCCAAGGUUCCCACCUCCAUGGUGUAAUAGUGAUAUAUGAUACUCUCCCUUGAAUGUGGGCAGCACCUGUAAUUAUGCUGAAUGUCACUCCCAUUAUUAGGUUAUAUUAGAAGGUCAAGGAUUUUUGCAGAUAUAAUUAAAGUUCCCAAUCAGUUGGUUUUAAAUUAAUCUAAAGAAAGAAGUCCUGGUGGGCCUGACUAAAUCAGAUGGUCCCUUUAAAAGAGGUUCUAGAGGUCAGAGAGAUUAUCCUAUUGGCCUUAAAACAGUAAGGUACUAUGUUGUGAGAGGUCCUAUGAGAGGGCUGUGUGGCAAGGACCUAAGACUAGCCUCAAGCUGCUGAGAGCAGCCCUGACUAAAACAUUUUAUCCUUAGAUUUAAUUAAUUAUGUCUAUAUUUUUACAUUGUCUGUUUCCUUUCUGUCUACAUCAUUAUUAAUUCCUUUCUUCUCUUUUCUUUGGUUCAUCUGUUAUUUUCUUUCUCACUCCCAUAUUUGCAGGCUUAAUUCACUUUUAAAAAUUUUAAUUCAGUAAUAAAAGUAUUUCUUAUCAUAACUGUUUCAUCAUAUAUUUAUAUAUUCAUUUCAGUUAGGUUUGAAUACUUUUUGAAUUCAUUUUCUCUCAAACGUUUUAUUUUAGCUGUUUUACAUUCCCCUUUCCCCUCUUUGGAGCCUGAGAUUAAUUUUAAAUGAGAUAAUUAUGACAUCUAGUAUUUAUCCUUUUUUCAAACCAUAAUCUAUAGAGACAAUUUUAGUUUACUAUUACUUAAAUGAUUCUUCUUAUUAUAUCUCUGCCAUGGAUAGUAAAAAUUGUACGAAAAAUUUCCUGUCCUUGCUCAACAUUAGUCCCAUUAGAUGAUUUUCUGGUCACCUUUGAAAUAUUUCCAAGACUAGGAUUCAUAAACUCCUUUGUUGUCUCUAAAAUAAUUCAUAGUUCAAUGCUACUUCUCUGGUACCAUCUUUUUCCUUCAGAUAUUCCCCAAAAUAGCAGUUCGUAUUUACUUUUUGCCUAAAUAUUGAGUGAAAAAGAGACAAUCUACCAGGUUGAUUCUCUUUGUAUAAAAGUCAAUCUUUCUUCUUCCUUUUUUUUUUUUUCCCCAUGUUUUAGUGUUAAUGCGACAUUUUAAUGUUUUCAAAGAUCUUUGACCUCAUUUCAUAAUCAGUGAAAAUGAGCGAGGAGGACUUGCAUUGUUCAGAUAAGUCAACCACGGGUAAGUGAGAGUAGGGAGUCUGCCAAAGGUGUCCUCGUAAUUACCCCAUCCCUGUUACAGGAGCUCCCACGGCAGCCUGCUGCACGCCGCUCCUUUAUCUAAUUUCAGGAGCUAGUUCGUUGAGCGAUCUUCAGUAAUAGCAAUGAAGAGCUAUUUCUCAGAAACAAAUGAUUGGAAACUAAUACUUGGCAAAUUCAUGGCUCAGCUUUUUUUCUCCCCCCUUUUUUGUUAACUAGACUGCUGUACUUAAAAUUAAAUCCUCUCCUGGGCUCACAGCUGGUACUGCAAACACAGCUAAUUGGACAGACUGAAGUGUGAAACUAAAUAUAUAUGUUGUCAUUUUAUCCAACAGUUUCUGGAAAAUGUACUGCAGGUAAAUCAGCAGGCGUUUGCAAAGCUUUUGAAAAAGUACAGGCGGACAUAUUAAGCCUCGUGAUGGAUAUGUCUCUCUGCCGGAGCAAAGCAGGCACCUGACUUUUGUAGGCAUUACUGAGGCAGCAUAGAUUUGUCAUUCUGAACACAAAUGGGACUUUUUCCUUAUGCAAUUUUGAAUGUUUUGAUUGAUUUUGGAUAAUAGCCUCCCAAAUUCCUUCCCAACUUUUUUUUUCUCAUUCAACAUUUUGUUCUCCUCUCUUUGUCCUAAAAGGAAUACCAAAUACCUCCUGUUAAAUAACUCCAAAAUGUGGUUUUAAAUGCCUUUCAUCGUGUGGAUUAUAGAGGAGGAACUUGUGAAACGUGUGUCUAAUCACCAAAUAAAUAGAUACCCAUAUUUCACUCAUUGUGUUUCUCAUUCUGGAGUCUCAGUGAAAUAGAAGCAUUGGAAAUCAGGCAGUUAGAUACUUAAAAGAGAGGAAAAGAAAAGAAAAAUCUUAUCAGGGUUCCUUUGAGACCCAGCAUGAUAUCUGCUUAUUUGAUAAGUUUCUCUCUUCCAAGACUUUAUAACCAUUUUCAGCUUCCAAUUGGAAGACAUCACUGAUUAAUUUUUAACUCAGAAGAGAAGCAAGUUAAUGACACUGCUAGUUUCCUCUGUGUGAUAAUUUCAAUUUACUUUUCAUUCUUUUCUGCCCUGCUCUGCAUCUUGUGAGAGCAAAUUCUAUAAAAGGCAAGAUCCAGGCUCUCUUGACUUCUGGCUUCCGUUUGGUUUUGGCCAAUGACAUGCAUUGACAGAUUAGAAAGCAGGAAAAGAAAGAGGCUGGGUAUUUAUUUUCCUUGCUUCUUGUCGACCAGGUGACAGUUUUGCCAGUGGUUGUGUUUGUGUACCUAACAGAGUCUUUGUGACAGUUCCUGCUCUCAUCAGACUCUGAAUCACUGUUUCUUUCCUUUGCUCACUCGGGCACAGUGUACUAAUGUUGCAUGAAAUUGCUAAUCUCUGAACACUUUACCAUUCCUCGUUGGUUUCCUUAGUCAUCCCCACCCAUCUUUAAAUUAUCCUUUCAUUAUACCCCAUUUAAUUAAAAUUUUAAAUGUGAAAUCUGUUUUCCGAUAGAAUUUUGAUAGAGAAAAUAAUUGGUAGCAAGUUUGGGCGCAAGAACCUAACCCUCAAAAUGCAAUUCUGGGUUUUGUGGGGAUACUGAAAGACUAAAUGGGCAAUCUUGACACUGGUAAUUGAUGUCAUGAAGUGACAAGUAUUUUAAAUAUUCACCAUUGACGGCAUCAGAUGAAGAGCCAGUGGAGGGCAAGCCAUUGGGAGGACAAUGACAAAGUGGCACUUAGGAGUUUGUGUUUCCUUUGUGCUGCGUAUGGUAGCUUUUUAUCUAAAUAAAAGGAUAAGAAUGGAAGCUGAAUGGCAGAAAGGACUGUGCUGGCGCAUGCCUAUUUUUACUUAUAUAUAUAUUUUAUUUGCUCUUUUCACUGCCCUGUGCUUUAGGAGGCUGACUUCUACAGACUGUAUCACCAGAUAUCUUUGCUAUCUGGCUACUAUUUGGGUUUGACCAAUAGGAGGCAUCAGUGGAAACUCAGAGGGUAAGAAAAGGGAGAGGCUGGGUAUUUAUUCCUUUAUAUCCUCCUGUUGGACUAUGGUUUAGCAGUGCCUACAUUUCUCUGCUACAUUUCUCAGUUCAUGUCUGAGGCCCCUCUUCCAUGGUCCUACCUCCUCCCAGGUUCUCUAACACAUCCCACUCCUUUUAGCUUCAGGCCAAAGGAUGAGAGCAGCCUCCCACUGUUGCAAAUCCCUGUGUGCUACAUGACCCUUUGUUGUCUCCUUCACCCGUGAUUCCUCUUUAUAAAUUGUCCUUUCAUUGAACUCUCUUUAAUUAAACUCUUUUUUUUUAAUUUUUAAAGUUUUUUUUUUUGAGCAAGAUUAACCCUGCGCUAACAUCUGCUGCCAAUCCUCCUCUUUUUGCUGCGGAAGACUGGCUCUGAGCUAACAUUCAUGCCCAUCUUCCUCUACUUUAUAUGUGGGAUGCCUACCAUAGCAUGGCUUGCCAAGUGGUGCCAUGUCCAUACCUGGGAUCCGAACCAGCGAACCCCAGGCCACCGAAGUGGAACAUGAGAACUUAGCUGCUGCACCACCGCUUUAAUUAAAUUCUUUGAUGUGCUGUUUCCUGCCAUGAUCCUGACUGAUAAGAACAAAGUCCUUAGACCACAAGAUGGAAGCAUUGGAUCUUCUUGACUUUGCAGCACAUAUUCUACAUUAUAUUAUGAGACAGGGAACUGGAAGUCAAGUACUGCUCACUCCUUUGAGGAAUCUCUAUGUGCCUUUGUUUUGUUUUCUGUUAGCAAAGUGCCUCUAUUAUGUGAUCUGCACAUCCACAUCCAAGAUUUAGUAUGGUAGCUGGCCAACAGGGGCCUGUUGGUAUAUGAACUUUCUGGUAUUUCUGAGAACAACAGUGACAAGAUACUGUGAGAAAAUGGUCUGAAGUAAUAAAUGAAGUGGACACACCAUUUUCUGAAAAUGGUGAUAUACUCUGAGAACACACGCAGAAAUAAGAGAUAGCCAAGACUCAUACGUCUUAGUUCAGGACACUCUUGAUUAUUGGUGCAGAGGGAAAUUCCUGAUUCUGGCAUAGGUGGGAGUGUCUUAACUCUUUCCCAGUCUCUGUGAAAUAUUUUUCAAGUUGCAAAAAAGAGACUAGGCUGUGAAACAGACAAGGAAGUCUUCCUUUUGCAGUGUAUGAGAAUCAUAACAGCUUGGGAGAAAACUACUUUGAAAUGCCAGCACUGGCUACAGUGAGAAGAGCCAAUAGUAUCGCAGUGGCAUGAAGAGGCCUGUGUGCCAUUUUUGGUAUUUGUGUUAUCAAAAGGAACAGUCAACAAGGGGCAUAAAACAGGCAUAAGCUUGCAAAGAACCAUUACAAAAGGAAGUUCUUCGUGAGUUCUAGUUCUAGGAUCUAUAAUACUGGUUGAGAGAUCAGAUUAAAUAUCAUUAUAAUUACACUUUUGGUGUGGCCUGGGGCUACUGUUAUAGGUAUUGAUUACUAUUAUUGUUUAUUGAGCUACUACUGUGUAUGGCACUUGAUAUACUUUAUUUCAUUAAUGCUAACAACUUUUCAAAGUACCUCCAUGCUCAUUUUACAUAUGAAAGAACUAAAUCUGAGUGAAUUUUGUUAACUCGUCUGUUAUAGACCUAGUAGGUCCUCAAGUCUAGAUUCAAACUUUGUUCUUGCUGAUUUCUAGGAUGGUCAACUCUCAACAUGCUUGCUGACUGAAGGCCCAGUAUUGACCCAUAAUUGUGUUUUAGGGGAAAUUCCUUUUCUUUCACUAUUAAUGCUUUCAUAGGAAUAGGUUUUUAUAUUUUGUUUUUCUUGCUCAUUUCAACUACAUGCAUCUUCCAUCCCAUGUGGUGUGCGGCCAACUACAGAAAGAUUGAGGCCAACUCAUAAAAAGAAAUAGAGCAAAGAAAACAGAAUGAGAAGACCUGGCAAUAGCUUAAUAGCUUUUAGGUCCUAGAUUCAUGCAAAGCUUUGGUUUGGUUUGCAUUGUUUUCUGUUGUUGGUCUAUCUUAUGUUUCUGUCACUUGCAAUAAAAGGAAUGGAACUGGUACAAUGAAGAUCUGGAAAAAUAAUGAUCGUUAUCUUGGGGAUCUGAAUCACUAGCCUAAUGAUGAGCUAAUUAAGCUGGCCUCCUUUUGCUGGUAGACUGGCUUUGAACUCAUGCACUGGUUUUAUUCUUCAGGCAUUUGCUACUUUGUGAGAACAAGUAAACAAAACACAUUUUUCCUUGUCAUUACAAUAAAACACCUACGUUAUGGAUAAGAUGCUUUAAAAUCUCUCUUGAGACUUGGCACUGAACUCCAAUUUGUAAGACUAGAGUUCUUUUUGGAUUUUUCCCAUCUAAAAACCCUUCCUAGGGGAUGACAUUCUGUCCAUGAAAAUCCCAAAC
This 6298-nucleotide long non-coding RNA is filed under the name Equus caballus (horse). Its description in RNAcentral is "lncRNA (ENSECAG00000058702.1)". The record is from RNAcentral. Lineage: Eukaryota; Metazoa; Chordata; Mammalia; Perissodactyla; Equidae.